RNAcentral lists this ribosomal RNA (377 nucleotides) under Escherichia coli. Its description in RNAcentral is "bacterial SSU rRNA". It matches the Rfam family "Bacterial small subunit ribosomal RNA", at positions 723 to 1101 of the family's 1533-position model. Lineage: Bacteria; Pseudomonadati; Pseudomonadota; Gammaproteobacteria; Enterobacterales; Enterobacteriaceae. The record is from RNAcentral.
UUCCCCCUGGACGAAGACUGACGCUCAGGUGCGAAAGCGUGGGGAGCAAACAGGAUUAGAUACCCUGGUAGUCCACGCCGUAAACGAUGUCGACUUGGAGGUUGUGCCCUUGAGGCGUGGCUUCCGGAGCUAACGCGUUAAGUCGACCGCCUGGGGAGUACGGCCGCAAGGUUAAAACUCAAAUGAAUUGACGGGGGCCCGCACAAGCGGUGGAGCAUGUGGUUUAAUUCGAUGCAACGCGAAGAACCUUACCUGGUCUUGACAUCCACGGAAGUUUUCAGAGAUGAGAAUGUGCCUUCGGGAACCGUGAGACAGGUGCUGCAUGGCUGUCGUCAGCUCGUGUUGUGAAAUGUUGGGUUAAGUCUGCUUCGUCGAUA